This 463-nucleotide ribosomal RNA is filed under the name uncultured bacterium. Its description in RNAcentral is "partial 16S ribosomal RNA". It matches the Rfam family "Bacterial small subunit ribosomal RNA", at positions 29 to 523 of the family's 1533-position model. The record is from RNAcentral.
AACGAACGCUGGCGGCACGCCUAACACAUGCAAGUCGAACGAAGCAUAAGAGCUUGCUCUUAUGACUGAGUGGCGCACGGGUGAGUAACACGUGGGAAUCUGCCUAUUGGUGGGGAAUAACUUUUGGAAACGAAAGCUAAUACCGCAUAAGCCCUAAGGGGGGAAGAUGUUAUCGCCAAUAGAUGAGCCCGCGCUGGAUUAGCUAGUUGGUGAGGUAAGAGCUCACCAAGGCUACGAUCUAUAGCUGGUCUGAGAGGAUGGUCAGCCACACUGGGACUGAGACACGGCCCAGACUCCUACGGGAGGCAGCAGUGGGGAAUAUUGGACAAUGGGGGAAACCCUGAUCCAGCGAUGCCGCGUGAGUGAAGAAGGCCUUCGGGUUGUAAAGCUCUUUCAGAGGGGAUGAUAAUGACGGUACCCUCAGAAGAGGCACCGGCUAACUUCGUGCCAGCCGCCGCGGUAA